RNAcentral lists this ribosomal RNA (254 nucleotides) under uncultured bacterium. RNAcentral's name for it is "partial 16S ribosomal RNA". It matches the Rfam family "Archaeal small subunit ribosomal RNA", at positions 474 to 727 of the family's 1478-position model. The record is from RNAcentral.
UACCAGCACCCCCGAGUGGUCGGGACGUUUAUUGGGCCUAAAGCAUCCGUAGCCGGUUCUACAAGUCUUCCGUUAAAUCCAGCUGCUUAACAGAUGGGCUGCGGAAGAUACUAUGGAGCUAGGAGGCGGGAGAGGCAAGCGGUACUCGAUGGGUAGGGGUAAAAUCCGUUGAUCCAUUGAAGACCACCAGUGGCGAAGGCGGCUUGCCAGAACGCGCUCGACGGUGAGGGAUGAAAGCUGGGGGAGCAAACAGG